GAUGAACGCUGGCGGCGUGCCUAAUACAUGCAAGUCGAGCGAACAGACGAGGAGCUUGCUCCUCUGACGUUAGCGGCGGACGGGUGAGUAACACGUGGAUAACCUACCUAUAAGACUGGGAUAACUUCGGGAAACCGGAUCUAAUACCGGAUAAUAUAUUGAACCGCAUGGUUCAAUAGUGAAAGACGGUUUUGCUGUCACUUAUAGAUGGAUCCGCGCCGCAUUAGCUAGUUGGUAAGGUAACGGCUUACCAAGGCGACGAUGCGUAGCCGACCUGAGAGGGUGAUCGGCCACACUGGAACUGAGACACGGUCCAGACUCCUACGGGAGGCAGCAGUAGGGAAUCUUACGCAAUGGGCGAAAGCCUGACGGAGCAACGCCGCGUGAGUGAUGAAGGUCUUCGGAUCGUAAAACUCUGUUAUUAGGGAAGAACAAAUGUGUAAGUAACUAUGCACGUCUUGACGGUACCUAAUCAGAAAGCCACGGCUAACUACGUG
Molecule: ribosomal RNA, 497 nt
Filed under: uncultured bacterium
Lineage: Bacteria
Description: partial 16S ribosomal RNA
Rfam family: Bacterial small subunit ribosomal RNA
Source: RNAcentral